UGCACCUCUCCUAGACCCAUUUAAGAGCUGACUGCCAGUGGGGAAGGAUAUUUUUCUGGAGAUUCUCUCUGCUGGAGCUUCACCAGCAAGCCCAGGUUAUGGACUUCUCCUUACAACGAUAUGAUUCUAAUGAUUUCGACCAGACUGCCUUGGGGCCCUACCUCUCAGGAACUGAGUGCUGGAAAACUUCCACUGGAAAAA
Molecule: non-coding RNA, 201 nt
Organism: Meleagris gallopavo (turkey)
Lineage: Eukaryota; Metazoa; Chordata; Aves; Galliformes; Phasianidae
Source: RefSeq, a predicted model, not a curated record